Chanos chanos (milkfish) is the source of this 474-nucleotide non-coding RNA. Lineage: Eukaryota; Metazoa; Chordata; Actinopteri; Gonorynchiformes; Chanidae. The record is from the annotation of a RefSeq genome assembly.
AUGACUUUCAUCACCAUCUUCAUCUGGACACUUUUGUGUUUUUUUAAAGAGUCCAGAGGACAGGUGACUGUGACUCAGACUCCAGAAGUGAAAUCUGCUCUUCCAGGAGACACAGUCACUAUCAACUGUAAAACCAGCUCUGGAGUGAGCAGUGGUAAUCGUCUGCACUGGUACCAACACAAACCUGGAGAGGCUCCUAAACUUCUGAUUUAUUAUGCAAGUGACCGUGUGUCUGGAGUUUCAGAUCGUUUCAGUGGCAGUGGAUCUGAUACUGACUUCACUCUGACCAUCAGUAACAUCCAGACUGAAGAUGCAGGAGAUUAUUACUGUCAGAGUGUACAUGACAUCAGUGAUAGGAAGCUGAGAGGAAAAUCUGAAGACACCAUCUCUGUUGACUGUUUUACUGUCAACAAGCUGCUGGACAGCCAAUCAAACAAGUUCAUGUUAAAAGUCUCUGUCCUGACCUUCAGAUGA